Molecule: long non-coding RNA, 537 nt
Filed under: Zonotrichia albicollis (white-throated sparrow)
Lineage: Eukaryota; Metazoa; Chordata; Aves; Passeriformes; Passerellidae
Description: lncRNA (ENSZALG00000016263.1)
Source: RNAcentral
UUAUCUGUGACCCUGAUUCCAAAUUUAUCUCAAUUUGAAAAAGCAGCAAGUGAUGCACUGUCAGUGUUCAAAGCAUCUUUGGUUUUUCAUGAGCAUUUUACCAGAUCCUGAGAGCAGCUUUUCCAGCUGACAGAUCUUUUUGUGAGCUUUGACUGGGUCGGCACUCACAUUGUGAUGCACGUCUGGAUCUGAACUCUGUGCCCCUGCCCUGUCUCUGCUUGCUGUAAAGAUUCCCAUUUCCAGAAAUGCCUCUUUUCUCAGAGAUCUGCCCAGAGUGAACUGCAAUCUGAAGUCACAAUACUGCCUGAUCAGCGCCAUCCUUUCAGCAUACUGCAUGAGCUGAUUAAAAAAAGACAGGAUGAUGAGCUUAGUCCCUUAACUCAUGCCAAUGAACAGGAAAAGCAACCCAGCCACCACCUGUCUCCAAACCAGGGUAGGCAAGGUCUGAGAUUUAUCUUCCUGGCUGGUUUUUGCACGAGGGAACACCUCAAGGUACGCACUCUGCAGAGGGGUUUGCAAACUGAGUCUCAAUAAGUG